RNAcentral lists this ribosomal RNA (497 nucleotides) under uncultured bacterium. Its description in RNAcentral is "partial 16S ribosomal RNA". It matches the Rfam family "Bacterial small subunit ribosomal RNA", at positions 28 to 507 of the family's 1533-position model. The record is from RNAcentral.
GAUGAACGCUGGCGGCGUGCCUAAUACAUGCAAGUCGAGCGAACAGACGAGGAGCUUGCUCCUCUGACGUUAGCGGCGGACGGGUGAGUAACACGUGGAUAACCUACCUAUAAGACUGGGAUAACUUCGGGAAACCGGAGCUAAUACCGAAAAAUUUAUUGAACCUCAUGGUUCAAUAGUGAAAGACGGUUUUGCUUUCACUUAUAGAUGAAUCCGCGCCGCAUUAGCUAGUUGGUAAGGUAACGGCUUACCAAGGCAAGGAUGCGUAGCCGACCUGAGAGGGUGAUCGGCCACACUGGAACUGAGACACGGUCCAGACUCCUACGGGAGGCAGCAGUAGGGAAUCUUCCGCAAUGGGCGAAAGCCUGACGGAGCAACGCCGCGUGAGUGAUGAAGGUCUUCGGAUCGUAAAACUCUGUUAUUAGGGAAGAACAAAUGUGUAAGUAACUAUGCACGUCUUGACGGUACCUAAUCAGAAAGCCACGGCUAACUACGUG